UGCCUACGGGACGCAGCAGUGGGGAAUAUUGGACAAUGGGGGAAACCCUGAUCCAGCGACGCCGCGUGAGUGAAGAAGUAUUUCGGUAUGUAAAGCUCUAUCAGCAGGGAAGAAAAUGACGGUACCUGACUAAGAAGCUCCGGCUAACUACGUGCCAGCAGCCGCGGUAAUACGUAGGGGGCAAGCGUUAUCCGGAAUUACUGGGUGUAAAGGGAGCGUAGACGGUUAAGUAAGUCUGGAGUGAAAGGCC
Molecule: ribosomal RNA, 250 nt
Filed under: uncultured bacterium
Lineage: Bacteria
Description: partial 16S ribosomal RNA
Rfam family: Bacterial small subunit ribosomal RNA
Source: RNAcentral